RNAcentral lists this unclassified non-coding RNA (250 nucleotides) under uncultured Ascobolus. RNAcentral describes it as "sequence contains 5.8S rRNA gene". The stretch from base 1 to 53 matches the Rfam family "5.8S ribosomal RNA", at positions 102 to 154 of the family's 154-position model. The record is from RNAcentral. Lineage: Eukaryota; Fungi; Ascomycota; Pezizomycetes; Pezizales; Ascobolaceae.
GAACGCACAUUGCGCCCUUUGGUAUUCCAAAGGGCAUGCCUGUCUGAGCGUCAAUAAAUGAAUCAAACCUUGGUUUGGUAUUGGGAGAAGUGGCAUUGCCUCUCUCCUUUAAGUUAUUGGCGACGCUAUUUCAGCUUGUAAGACGUAGUAAGUAAUUUCUCGUUAAAGCAACUGUAUAGAUGUCUGCCAACUGAACGAUUUAUUUUACAGCUUGAGCUCAGAUCAGGUAGGGAUACCCCCUGAACUUAAG